Molecule: ribosomal RNA, 491 nt
Filed under: uncultured bacterium
Lineage: Bacteria
Description: partial 16S ribosomal RNA
Rfam family: Bacterial small subunit ribosomal RNA
Source: RNAcentral
GUGCACGCUGGCGGUAGGCCUAACACAUGCAAGUCGAACGGCAGCACAGUAAGAGCUUGCUCUUACGGGUGGCGAGUGGCGGACGGGUGAGGAAUACAUCGGAAUCUACUUUUUCGUGGGGGAUAACGUAGGGAAACUUACGCUAAUACCGCAUACGACCUACGGGUGAAAGCAGGGGAUCUUCGGACCUUGCGUGAUUGAAUGAGCCGAUGUCGGAUUAGCUAGUUGGCGGGGUAAAGGCCCACCAAGGCGACGAUCCGUAGCUGGUCUGAGAGGAUGAUCAGCCACACUGGAACUGAGACACGGUCCAGACUCCUACGGGAGGCAGCAGUGGGGAAUAUUGGACAAUGGGCGCAAGCCUGAUCCAGCCAUACCGCGUGGGUGAAGAAGGCCUUCGGGUUGUAAAGCCCUUUUGUUGGGAAAGAAAAGCAGCAGGUUAAUACCCCGCUGUUCUGACGGUACCCAAAGAAUAAGCACCGGCUAACUUCGUG